CGAACGCUGGCGGCGUGCCUACUACAUGCAAGUUGAGCGCUGAAGGUUGGUACUUGUACCAACUGGAUGAGCAGCGAACGGGUGAGUAACGCGUGGGGAAUCUGCCUUUGAGCGGGGGACAACAUUUGGAAACGAAUGCUAAUACCGCAUAAAAACUUUAAACACAAGUUUUAAGUUUGAAAGAUGCAAUUGCAUCACUCAAAGAUGAUCCCGCGUUGUAUUAGCUAGUUGGUGAGGUAAAGGCUCACCAAGGCGAUGAUACAUAGCCGACCUGAGAGGGUGAUCGGCCACAUUGGGACUGAGACACGGCCCAAACUCCUACGGGAGGCAGCAGUAGGGAAUCUUCGGCAAUGGACGAAAGUCUGACCGAGCAACGCCGCGUGAGUGAAGAAGGUUUUCGGAUCGUAAAGCUCUGUUGGUAGAGAAGAACGUUGGUGAGAGUGGAAAGCUCAUCAAGUGACGGUAACUACCCAGAAAGGGACGGCUAACUACGUG
This 495-nucleotide ribosomal RNA is filed under the name uncultured bacterium. RNAcentral describes it as "partial 16S ribosomal RNA". It matches the Rfam family "Bacterial small subunit ribosomal RNA", at positions 30 to 507 of the family's 1533-position model. The record is from RNAcentral.